This is a long non-coding RNA of Lactuca sativa (garden lettuce), 1346 nucleotides long. RefSeq lists it as uncharacterized. NCBI's taxonomy places the organism in Eukaryota, Viridiplantae, Streptophyta, Magnoliopsida, Asterales, Asteraceae. The record is from RefSeq and is a predicted model, not a curated record.
CUCAAAAACCCGAAGCUCUGAUACCACUUGUUGGGAAAAAUAUCCCCCUGGCUCCCAACAACCUCCCAAUCCUCUAUUCUAAUAAACAGUACAUUUUCGCCAUGUGGCAAUUUCUUAACUCUCUUCCACCUUUUUUUUCCCGCCCAUAUUAUUAAACUGAAAUUCCAAUUCCACCCUGGUGCUACUAUAUAACCGCAUGUCCUAUUAAUUCCUUUUCUUCUCUUUUGAAAUUCAAUUUUUUUUGGAAUCAACUACGUGAUUUAUAUCAAGAAAUCAUUAAUUCUAAAAACCUAACAUUCCAAAGAAUCAGCAAUUACAUAGCAACAAAUCAGGAAACAGUAUCAUCUCCAAAUCAACAAUUAAAUCGCAAUAACCGGACCGUAUGUUUGGGGGUUAUUCGAUUAUUCAGUCGUCGUUUCGUGCUUUAUCUACGCAGGAAUAAUUAUGCCGAAGAAGUAGAUCCAUAUGAAGGGUUAUUCGUAUAUGAGCAUACCAAAAUUCUCAGGAUCAAAGAACAACGGGAAGAUCCACACCAGGGUGUAGAUUCUGUUACAAUGAACUUCAGGGAAGGAGAAAUCAAGGAGGGAUCACCGAAACUCUUGAAUAAAUUAGCAUUAUACAGGUAAUUCAUUCCAAAUUUUUUUUUUUUGUCAAUUUCCCUAUUUGGUCGAUUUGCUGAAAGUAAUCCUAUAGGUUUCAACCCUAAUGUUUAGAUAUGCUUAUCAUCAGACCUCCUUUCUCUUCUCCAAUCCUCUAUCUGACAUCAGGGGUGAUUCUGUUUCAUGUUUCAAAUCUACUAUUUUGCUCAAUAUUAUCAUCAGACUUGCUUUCUCUUCUCUAAUCCUCAAUAUUUUUAGAUAUGCUUAUCAUCAGACCUCCAAUCCUCUCUGGCAUCAGGUAUGAUUGUGCUUUGUGUUUCCAAUCCACUUGAAGCUUUUGUCUCCAUGUUGAAGUUCUUCGACACGUUGUGGCUUUCACCCAACUCACUUUGAGUGAAAGUGAUUAGAUUCUGAUUCUCAUGAAAGCUUACUUUUGAUUUUUUGGAUUUAUGUUUUCGUUUACAGAUUGAUGGUUAUUUGGUGAUGGUUAGUGACAUAUGAGAUUCAGUUAAGUUAAAAGCUGAUGAUGCACCAAGAAGAGGUUUUGUGUAUCAAGGGUCCAUAAUAAACGAAUCUUGCAACUAGAUAAAUUUUCUUGAAGGGUAAAGGUUUUACUUUUAUUAAAAGUUAUAAAAUUCGUGAGUGAAUGAUGUUAAUGUUUCUACAUGUAUAAUGGUGAGGUAAUAAUGGGCUGUAGCAAUAAAUGCAUUGGACAAUUUAUUAUUUUUUAUAAUUUCAUUAUAAUCU